Molecule: unclassified non-coding RNA, 218 nt
Filed under: uncultured fungus
Lineage: Eukaryota; Fungi
Description: sequence contains ITS1, 5.8S rRNA gene
Rfam family: 5.8S ribosomal RNA (bases 170-218)
Source: RNAcentral
UUUCCGUAGGUGAACCUGCGGAAGGAUCAUUAGAGAGCCCACGGGCGUAUUAGAGACUUGUGAAUUGUGCGUUCGCGCAUUGUUGGCUUAUGAGGUUGGCUUGUGAACGCCUUCGGGCCGCCUUCGGGCUUCAAACUUGAUGUAACGAACGUCUCUAUGAGAAAAACACAACUUUCAACAAUGGAUCUCUUGGCUCUCGCAUCGAUGAAGAACGCAGC